Molecule: ribosomal RNA, 3086 nt
Filed under: Capsicum chinense (habanero)
Lineage: Eukaryota; Viridiplantae; Streptophyta; Magnoliopsida; Solanales; Solanaceae
Description: bacterial LSU rRNA
Rfam family: Bacterial large subunit ribosomal RNA
Source: RNAcentral
CAGAAAAAAAAAAAGGGUUUUUUUAUAGAUUUUGAGGUUGAGUAAUGGGGGCAGAUCUUGAAGACCAAAGUGAGCCGCGCUAGCCUAGCAACGUUUUUCAGCAGCAAGCUAUGGUCUAACAACCCCCUAACCUAGGUUGGGGCGAAAACUCCAAAAUCCAAAAUGUUAGUUAGGGUUUCUCUCCUUUUAGGUGGUUAGUUAGGGUUCCUCCCCUUUUAGGUGAGCUACUUCAUUCAAAACCUUUCUCUAAUAAUAAGGUAAGCUUUCAAGACAUCACCCUUUAAAGGAGUGGGCGCAGUGAACUGUAAUUGUGAAAAGAUUGGAAGAUCUGGCAAAAGAAGGUGAUAGCCCUAUAGAUUCAUUCCCAUGGUUCGAUCCUUCCCAGUAAAAUAUGGCACAUUUGAAUUCUGAUCACUUUUAUGUGAGAAAGGGGGACAACCCUCUAAGCCUAAGUAUUUCUCAAUGGCCGAUAGCAUACAAGUACCAUGAGGAAAAGGUGAAAAGAACCCUAUUUAGGGAGUGCAAUAGAGAACCUGAGAUCUGAUGCGAACAAUCAGUCGAAGGAUCAGAGCUUAGAGCCUUUACUUUAUGUAAAGCACACUCACUCUAACGGCGUACCUUUUGCAUGAUGGGUUAGCGAGGAAAUAGGAACAGCAGCUUAAGCCAUUAGGUGUAGGCGCUUUCCAGAGGUAGAAUCUUCUAGUUCUUCCAAUUUAACCCGAAACUAAUCGAUCUAGCCAUGAUCAGGUUGAAGAGAGUUCUAACAGGCCUUGGAGGACCGAACCCACGUAUGUGGCAAAAUAUGUGGAUGACUUGUGGCUAGGGAUGAAAGGCCAAACAAGAUUGGAUAUAGCUGGUUUUCCAUGAAAUCUAUUUCAGUAGAGCGUAUGAUAUCAAUGGCCUGAGGUAAAGUACUCAAUGGGAUAGGGUGGCUUUAUUUCGCCUUACCAACCCCAGGAAAACUCUAAAUACAGGCCUAGAUCAUUUGUACAGACAGACUUUUUGGGUGCUAAGAUCCAAAGUCGAGAGGGAAAUAUCCCAGAUCAUACGCUAAGGUCCCUAAGCAAUCACUUAGUGGAAAAGGAAGUGAUCGAGCGAUGACAACCAGGAGGUGGUCUUGGAAGCAGCCAUUCUUUGAAGAAAGCAUAAUAGCUCACUGGUCUAGCUCCAGGGCACCAAAAAUGUAUUAGGGCUCAAGUGAUUCACCUAAGCGACGAGACCUUGAAAGCUGCUUUUUCAAGUGUUAAUAGCAGAACGUUCUGUCAAUCGGGAAGGUUUUUGGUGACAAGUCCUAGAGAUAUCAGAAGUGAGAAUGUUGACUAGAGUAAUGAAAAAUCCUGUGAAAAACAUGAUCGCCUGCCAAUGGAAGGUUUUCUGUGUUUAGUCAAUCUACACAGAGUGAAUCGGUCCCUAAGAAACCCCUAAAAGGGCCUAGUCUGAUAGGUACACGAAAGUGACAAAGUUGCUUUGACUACAGAACCAUGUCUGUCUGUUGGAGUGAAUGGGAUGAUCAGGCUGAGGGCUGCCCCCACUUUCCCUUACUUCCUUUCUCUAAUAUAAACCUUGAGUCAUCAAAUCCUUUCUGACUUAGCCUGGCCCGGUUGCCCUAUGUGACUGUUGCUUCAAAAGGUGAAACUCUCAAUCGUAGUUUGGCGACCUAUCUUUAGUAGGGGCCUUUAGUCUUUUGAUUAGAGUAGGGGUCGUGAGAGAACAGAGCAUACCGCCCUGCCAUAGUCAUGAGUCUGUUUAAAGUCACGACUGUUGUCAUAGUCAACAAGGUUGAAACUUCCAGGAAAAAACUUUAAAUUGGAAGGGCGAUUCUCCCGGUGAACUGACCGUACCCCAAACUGACACAGGUGAACAAGUAGAGAAUACUAAGGCGCUUGAGAGAACCAUGUCGAAGGAACUCGGUAAAAUAACCCCAUAACCUCAUGAGAAGGGGUGCUUUCCUAUCUUUUGAUUAGGAAACCGGCACAUACCAAGGGGCAGCGACUAUUUAUUAAAAACACAAGACUCUGCUAAGUGGUAACAUGAUGUAUAGAGUCUGACACCUGCCCGGUGCUGGAAGGUCGGAAGGAGAAGUGUUAUAAGCUUUGAAUGGAAACCCCGAUAAAUGGCGGCAGUAACUCUAACUGUCUUAAGGUAGCAAAAUUCCUUGUCACAUAAGUAGUGACCUGCACGAAUGGUGUAACGACUGCCCCGCUAUCUCCGACAUGGACCCGAUGAAAUUAAUUCUCUGUGAAGAUGCAGAGUACCAAUGGAUAGAUGGUAAGACCUCGUGCACCUUAAUUAUAGCUUCACAGUGACAACCUUAAUCGAAUGUGUAGGAUAGGUGGGAGGUGGUGACACACAAUGACCAAUCCUGAAAGAGAACUCUUUCGUCUAAGGAUGACUAACCGCCACACCGAUCAUUCGGGGGGAAGCGAGACACUACGAGGUGGGUAGUUUAUCUGGGGCGAAUACUUACUAAAGAGUAACGAAGGUGUGCGAAGGUGUGAGAAGGUAGGCUCAAGCUAAGAUUCUGCUCGUGAGCGUAAUGGUAUAAGCCUGCCUGACUGUGAAACCGACUGGUCAAAUAGAGACAAAAGUUGGCUAUAGUGAUCUAGGAGUCCCGCAUAAAAGGGCUCUUGCUCAACGGAUCAAAGGUACGCCGGGGAUAACAGGCUGACGACUCCCAAGAGCUCUUAUCGACGGAGUCGUUUGGCACCUCGAUGUUGACUCAUCACAUCCUGGGGUUGAAAAAGGUCCCAAAGGUUUGGUUGUUCACUGAUUCAAGUGGUACGUGAGUUGGAUUUAGAAUGUCAUGAGAUAGUUUGGUUCCUAUCUACCGUUGGUGUUAAAGAGAGAACUGCGAGAAGCCAACCCUAGUACGAAAGGACUGGGUUGGGAUAACCUAUGGUGUACCAGUUGUUAUGCCAAUAGCAGCGCUAGGCAGCUAAGUCGUUAUGGAAGAACUGCUGCGCCGUAGGAAAUCCUUCUCUAUAUAAGUUCUCGGAUGAGGUUUUUUAAUAGAACUUUGAUAGGCGAGAGGUGUAAGCACUGUGAUGUGUGAAGCGAUCUCGUACUAAAUGAAACGACUUUCACUU